AAAGAAUAUACACUAUACAGGUGUAAUUUUUUUUUUAAAAGAUAAUACAACUGAAGACCACCAUGACCACAGUGGUGGAUCCAGAAUUUUUCAUAAGUGGGGCCCACCGACUGCCUAAGAGGGGCCUGCUCCUGCCAUGACUCAGUGAUUCCAUAUAUAAUCAACCAAUUCUUUUCCCAAACAGGGGGCCCUGAACUCCUGAUCCCCCCUUUUUUUUCCUCAUUUCAAUCACCCUGAUAUAAAUUUAGUUUUAUCACUUACAAUAGGAAUGGUUUGAAUUCCCCAAUAAUUCUUAUAUACCAUUAAUAUCAACAUAUUUCAUUUUUGAUAAAUGAAAGGCAAAAGUUUUCUAUGGGUAGAAAUGGAUAGUGGGAAGCUUUCAGAUUCACACCAUGCCGGUGGCUGUGUUCAAAGUGCUGGGUUUUUAUUACCCUCGUUGUUUGCGGACUAACUAUUUAGGCCAGUGGUGGAUAAUAGUGUGCGUGCAUUAAUCUUCUAUACCUUCUUAAUCAAUAUAUUCAAAUACUGACGGCAAGUGUGUGUUGUAAUGAUGUAUCAAUGUCUUUUUGAAAAUCACCGUGCUAUUUACAUGUGGGAUCGAGAAUGCAGGGGAAGGAAACUUGUCAAUUAUGUUUAUUUCUAAGCCAAAAUAAAAUGAGCCGCCGUAAAAUUAACCUUGGGUAAUAACAGUGCAUGUAAGGCUCGUCUCGGAGGGGUGUCUUUUUUUCUG
This 730-nucleotide long non-coding RNA is filed under the name Mytilus galloprovincialis (Mediterranean mussel). Lineage: Eukaryota; Metazoa; Mollusca; Bivalvia; Mytilida; Mytilidae. The record is from RNAcentral.